This 341-nucleotide long non-coding RNA is filed under the name Manacus vitellinus (golden-collared manakin). Its description in RNAcentral is "lncRNA (ENSMVIG00005001396.1)". The record is from RNAcentral. Lineage: Eukaryota; Metazoa; Chordata; Aves; Passeriformes; Pipridae.
UCAGAGCAAUGAACAUAUGGCUGUUACUAUCAGCACUGGUGUAUUUGCGGCGAUGCCUAUCAACAUCCACCAGAGAGCAGGGCAGCUCCAAAACCCACAUCUUUUAUGCUGUGGAAAUUGAUGGAGACAGCAACACAGCCAGCUUCUUGGCCAAACAACAUGGAAUGCAGUUCAUUUCAAAGGUACUGGUCUCUUAGCCUGUAGGGCUUGUGCAUGAUGUAUAUGAGAGCGAUUUCCAGCAGAGUGAAGCUUAUCACAGAUCCACCUAAAAGGUAAGGAUAUUUUUUUUAAUUUUUAGUUCACAUGCUGAACAGCUGCCUGCUGAACACCUGCCCACGGAG